AGCCGGGGCAUUUUGUCCCGGAAGUAUAGUGUUGCGCAUUCUUCCUUUUGCCCAUAUUUGGAAGACGCCGUGACAGAGCGCAGCUGGUUCGUUAGCCAGACAGGUAAUCAGCAGUUGCAUUUAAAAGCAGGUAGAUUGCUGAGGAGAUCAGAUCCCAGGCUGAUGAUUCCUGCAGAGGAGAGAUACUUCUAGAGCGAGUGACGUACAGAACACCAUUGACUGGUUUUGCUUUAAAGAAGGUUGGCCUGCUACUGUGUCAGUUUUUGUUUUAGUUUAAAAUUUCUUCCUUUUUUGGGAUAGUUAUUAUAGAUUAAAAGUAUUUUCUUUUUGCUAGAUUUGUUGAAGGAAGGGGAGUUUUUAUUGUCUAGCCUUCUGGCUUGUUUAAAAUAAUAAAAAGGACCUAUGCUGUCUCUGGGUCCCAAGCUAUUUUAUUCAGAUUGAGGAGACUAGUGGAAGGGGAGUUUUUCUUUCCUUUGCUGUAUCACCAGGGCUUUUGUGUGAGUGUGUUUUUGUUGGGGAACACUUAGGUGCAUUUAGUUGUAUUUGUGUUUUCUUUAUUAUUAUUCCUCCCCCAAACAGUCUAAUGUUAUUUAAUUGGGUUUAAUUGUA
This is a long non-coding RNA of Xiphophorus hellerii (green swordtail), 609 nucleotides long. RefSeq lists it as uncharacterized. The transcript is spliced from 3 exons. The record is from RefSeq and is a predicted model, not a curated record. Lineage: Eukaryota; Metazoa; Chordata; Actinopteri; Cyprinodontiformes; Poeciliidae.